CAGGUGUCCGUCAAGCCAAGAAACACCAAGUGAAGCACCAAAGAGUCAGAGGUUGACUCCUGCCCCCGCCUCAACCCUUGGACUGGCACCCUCUACAUCCCAGCCCCAAGCUUCCCGGAGAACCUGAGUCGCCUGUUCUUUGGAUGCCCUGAAGGAAAAGAGACUGGCUACAACAAAAGACAUUGAAAACUUGCCAUGUUUUGCAGAUGAGCCCCUGAAGCUGCAGUAGUGACUCUCGGCCCAUUUGGGAGAAAUAUGCUGAGAGAGACAAUGUGACUGACUACCUGACGAAUCUCUUUCCUUGAGCACCAAGAAAUCAUCACAGCUUCAAGCAGUUAUCAUACUAUCAGGACCAGAGACAGAGAGAGAGAGACUAUCACUACAAGCAAAAAACAAAUACUGGAAUGAAGAUCCCUGGAGAGCUGCAGCUGAAGGAAACUCUUGGCUACUUCGACAUAAGAGGCAAACCAUCAAUGGGAAAAUGAGCAGGAUACUCUGUGGACUUUCUUUUUGUCCUUGUGGAUUAUUUCCAAGUUAUGGGAUCUUUAAUUCUCAAAUGAGUGGGAGAGUUGUUUGAGUAAAGAGUUCAGGAUCAGGCUGUAGCUUAUUAAAUAAAAAAGUUAGACAAUCAAGUUGUCUAGUGUUGGAAUUACAGUAAACUGGCAACAUGUUAAAUGUUUUCUUCUCUUUAUGAGAGUGAAGGAAAUGAGAUUCUGAGAAGUAUUUGAGUGGGCAACCCAAUUAGCAUGGUUUUUCCUGUUCUUGAUAGUGAUCAAAUUUCCCCCUACCUCCACACACACGCACACACACACACACACACUUGUGUCAAAAAUAGAACAGAAAAUAAGGAAUUAACUGAGAUGUGGGACAAAUAAUAAGAAAAGGAAAAACCUUGAUUAUGCUUUCUGCCUACUAUGUCCAUGGCAUUCAAUAAAAAAAAACAAAGCUCUCAAUUUUGGGGGGGGGGGAGAAAUCAAAGGAAAACUGGGGACAAAACCACUGAUAGAAGCAUAAAGACAGCUUUUGAACAACCCACCCUCUGCCACAGUCAUGUUAGGAAUUCAAGACUGGAAAUUCACUUUACUCCGGAAAACCGUUAAUGGUGACCCAGAGAAAAAUGUUUCAAAGGUCACUCUAAAUCUACAGCUACAGAGCCAGCUAGAUCAACCUUUACAAGAUCUUACUUGCUUAAAUAGGUUUUCUUUCUGAGAAGCUAGUUUCUGUUUCUUGCAUGCCUCCUUACAUUUGACAUGUAUUCUGUGCAUGAACAAACUAACCUCUAUUAUAAAUAUUGUUGGUUUUACAUGGAUAAAUACAGUGUCACCAUUUUUACAGUAUAAAAGAUAUUCCCUUAAUGGAAAUAUUCUGCUCCUGUGUCCAUUUAAAAAAAGUUUUCAUGCCUUUCAUUAUUGUUAAUUAUCAGGGUGUUGGGUUUUUUAUAUUAAACCAUUUGUAUUGGAGUGAAUCUUUUCACUACCAAAAACUGUCCUAUAAUUGUUAAAGCAGGUUUAACAAUGCCCUCUACUGGAUUCAUAGCUGAAAUGACAAAAAAUAUCAGGUGAUCGAAUAGGGAACACAGUUAAAACCAAGCAAGAUUGAACUGAAUGGUGAGUGGAUAUUAAUUCCCUACAGAGAAGUUCAGAUUUGUGUUUUGUCCAGUCU
Chrysemys picta bellii (western painted turtle) is the source of this 1662-nucleotide non-coding RNA. Lineage: Eukaryota; Metazoa; Chordata; Testudines; Emydidae. The record is from RefSeq and is a predicted model, not a curated record.